UGAUAUGAAGCGAUAUUUAUUGCGUUUAGUUUCGGCCUAAAAUUAAGAUUUAUAAUUCUCUUAUCAU
RNAcentral lists this transfer RNA (67 nucleotides) under Challia fletcheri. Its description in RNAcentral is "tRNA-Arg". The record is from RNAcentral. Lineage: Eukaryota; Metazoa; Arthropoda; Insecta; Dermaptera; Pygidicranidae.